This 251-nucleotide ribosomal RNA is filed under the name uncultured prokaryote. RNAcentral describes it as "partial 16S rRNA". It matches the Rfam family "Bacterial small subunit ribosomal RNA", at positions 525 to 775 of the family's 1533-position model. The record is from RNAcentral.
ACGUAUGGGGCAAGCGUUGUUCGGAAUUAUUGGGCGUAAAGGGCGUCUAGGCGGGGGAUUAAGUUAGAUGUGAAAGCUAUGGGCUCAACCCAUAAACUGCAUCUAAGACUGGUUCUCUUGAGUCCGGGAGAGGAAAGCGGAAUUCCAGGUGUAGCGGUGAAAUGCGUAGAGAUCUGGAGGAACACCAGUGGCGAAGGCGACCUACUGGACUAGAACUGACGCUGAAGCGCGAAAGUGUGGGGAGCAAACAG